RNAcentral lists this ribosomal RNA (1275 nucleotides) under 'Allium cepa' leaf yellows phytoplasma. RNAcentral's name for it is "bacterial SSU rRNA". It matches the Rfam family "Bacterial small subunit ribosomal RNA", at positions 171 to 1459 of the family's 1533-position model. Lineage: Bacteria; Bacillati; Mycoplasmatota; Mollicutes; Acholeplasmatales; Acholeplasmataceae. The record is from RNAcentral.
CUUUUAAUUUUUAAAAGACCUUUUUCGAAAGGUAUACUUAAAGAGGGGCUUGCGCCACAUUAGUUAGUUGGUAAGGUAAAGGCUUACCAAGACGAUGAUGUGUAGCUGGACUGAGAGGUCGAACAGCCACAUUGGGACUGAGACACGCCCCAAACUCCUACGGGAGGCAGCAGUAAGGAAUUUUUGGCAAUGGAGGAAACUCUGACCGAGCGACGUCGCGUGAACAAUGAAGUACUUCGGUAUGUAAAGUUCUUUUAUUGAAAAAGAAAAAAUAGUGGAAAAACUAUCUUGACAUUAUUCAAUGAAUAAGCCCCGGCUAAUUAUGUGCCAGCAGCCGCGGUAAUACAUAAGGGGCGAGCGUUAUCCGGAAUUAUUGGGCGUAAAGGGUGCGUAGGCGGUUUGAUAAGUCUAUAGUUUAAAUGCAGUGCUUAACGCUAUAGCGCUAUAGAAACUGUCUGACUAGAGUUAGAUAGAGGCAAGCGGAAUUCCAUGUGUAGCGGUAAAAUGCGUAAAUAUAUGGAGGAACACCAGAGGCGUAGGCGGCUUGCUGGGUCUUAACUGACGCUGAGGCACGAAAGCGUGGGGAGCAAACAGGAUUAGAUACCCUGGUAGUCCACGCCGUAAACGAUGAGUACUAAGUGUCGGGUUUCGGCUCGGUACUGAAGUUAACACAUUAAGUACUCCGCCUGAGUAGUACGUACGCAAGUAUGAAACUUAAAGGAAUUGACGGGACCCCGCACAAGCGGUGGAUCAUGUUGUUUAAUUCGAAGAUACACGAAAAACCUUACCAGGUCUUGACAUAAUUUUGCGACAUUAUAGAAAUAUAAUGAAGGUUAUCAGAAUUACAGGUGGUGCAUGGUUGUCGUCAGCUCGUGUCGUGAGAUGUUAGGUUAAGUCCUAAAACGAGCGCAACCCUUGUCGUUAGUUGCGACCACGUAAUGGUGAGCACUUUAGCGAGACUGCCAAUGAAAAAUUGGAGGAAGGUGAGGAUUACGUCAAAUCAUCAUGCCCCUUAUGAUCUGGGCUACAAACGUGAUACAAUGGCUGUUACAAAGAGUAGCUACAACGUGAGUUUUUAGCCAAUCUCAAAAAAACAGUCUCAGUUCGGAUUGAAGUCUGCAACUCGACUUCAUGAAGUUGGAAUCGCUAGUAAUCGCGAAUCAGCAUGUCGCGGUGAAUACGUUCUCGGGGUUUGUACACACCGCCCGUCAAACCACGAAAGUUGAUAAUACCCGAAAGCGAUCGCCUAACUUCGUCAGAAGAGGGAGCCGUCUA